UCCCAGCGGUCCAAGUCUCAUCCACUUUUAUUGGGUCUAAAACAUCCGUAGCUUGUUUUGCAAGUCUCUUGUGAAAUCCGACUUCUUAAGGGUUGAAGUGCAAGAGAUACUGCAUUGCUAGAGACCGGGAGAUGUAAAGAGUACGAAUAGGGUAGCGGUUAAAUGUGUUGAUCCUAUUUGGACUAACAAUAGCGAAGGCACUUUACAAGAACGGAUCUGACAGUGAGGGAUGAAGGCUAGGGGCGCAAAACGG
Molecule: ribosomal RNA, 253 nt
Filed under: uncultured archaeon
Lineage: Archaea
Description: partial 16S ribosomal RNA
Rfam family: Archaeal small subunit ribosomal RNA
Source: RNAcentral